UAACCUGCCUGGUAGCGGGGGAUAACUAUUGGAAACGAUAGCUAAUACCGCAUAACAGUAGAUAUCGCAUGAUAUUUGCUUGAAAGGUGCAAUUGCACCACUACCAGAUGGACCUGCGUUGUAUUAGCUAGUUGGUGAGGUAACGGCUCACCAAGGCAACGAUACAUAGCCGACCUGAGAGGGUGAUCGGCCACACUGGGACUGAGACACGGCCCAG
Molecule: ribosomal RNA, 217 nt
Filed under: uncultured bacterium
Lineage: Bacteria
Description: partial 16S ribosomal RNA
Rfam family: Bacterial small subunit ribosomal RNA
Source: RNAcentral